GAAAUCGAGUCUUAAUAGGGCGUUUAGUUGCUGGGUAUAGACCCGAAACCAGGCGAUCUAUCCAUGAGCAGGUUGAAGGUUGGGUAACACUAACUGGAGGACCGAACCCACUGUCGUUGAAAAGCCAGGGGAUGACUUGUGGAUAGGGGUGAAAGGCUAAUCAAGCCUGGUGAUAGCUGGUUCUCCCCGAAAGCUAUUUAGGUAGCGCCUCGGACGAAUACCAUAGGGGGUAGAGCACUGUUUCGGCUAGGGGGUCAUCCCGACUUACCAAACCGAUGCAAACUCCGAAUACCUAUGAGUACUAUCCGGGAGACAGACUGCGGGUGCUAACGUCCGUAGUCAAGAGGAAAACAAUCCAGACCGCCAGCUAAGGCCCCAAAAUCAUAGUUAAGUGGGAAACGAUGUGGGAAGGCAUAGACAGCUAGGAGGUUGGCUUAGAAGCAGCCACCCUUUAAAGAAAGCGUAAUAGCUCACUAGUCGAGUCGGCCUGCGCGGAAGAUGUAACGGGGCUAAAACUAUGUGCCGAAGCUGCGGAUGUAUACUUUGUAUACGUGGUAGGGGAGCGUUCUGUAAGCCGAUGAAGGUGUGUUGAGAAGCAUGCUGGAGGUAUCAGAAGUGCGAAUGCUGACGUGAGUAACGACAAAACGGGUGAAAAACCCGUUCGCCGAAAGACCAAGGGUUCCAGUCCAACGUUAAUCGGGGCUGGGUGAGUCGACCCCUAAGGCGAGGCCGAAAGGCGUAGUCGAUGGGAAAAUGGUUAAUAUUCCAUUACUUCUGUGUAAUGCGAUGAGAGGACGGAGAAGGCUAAAUCAGCCUGGCGUUGGUUGUCCAGGUGAAAGGAUGUAGGCAUGUAUCUUAGGCAAAUCCGGGGUACUCUAUGCUGAGAUCUGAUAGCAAGCUGUACUUGUACAGCGAAGUGGUUGAUGCCAUGCUUCCAGGAAAAGUCUCUAAGCUUCAGUUACACAGGAAUCGUACCCGAAACCGACACAGGUGGUCAGGUCGAGUAGACCAAGGCGCUUGAGAGAACUCUGCUGAAGGAACUAGGCAAAAUGGUACCGUAACUUCGGGAGAAGGUACGCUGUUGUUGGUGAUGGAACUCGCUUCCUGAGCUGACGACAGCCGCAGAAACCAGGCCGCUGCAACUGUUUAUUAAAAACAUAGCACUCUGCAAACACGAAAGUGGACGUAUAGGGUGUGAUGCCUGCCCGGUGCUGGAAGGUUAAUUGAUGGGGUUAGCGUAAGCGAAGCUCUUGAUCGAAGCCCCAGUAAACGGCGGCCGUAACUAUAACGGUCCUAAGGUAGCGAAAUUCCUUGUCGGGUAAGUUCCGACCUGCACGAAUGGCAUAAUGAUGGCGGCGCUGUCUCCAGCAGAGGCUCAGUGAAAUCGAAAUCGCUGUGAAGAUGCAGUGUACCCGCGGCUAGACGGAAAGACCCCGUGAACCUUUACUGCAGCUUGACACUGAACUUUGACCUUACUUGUGUAGGAUAGGUGGGAGGCUUUGAAGCUGGAACGCUAGUUCCAGUGGAGCCGUCCUUGAAAUACCACCCUGGUAAUGUUGAGGUUCUAACUCUGUCCCGUGAUCCGGGACGAGGACCGUGUCUGGUGGGUAGUUUGACUGGGGCGGUCUCCUCCUAAAGAGUAACGGAGGAGUACGAAGGUGCGCUCAGCGUGGUCGGAAAUCACGCGUAGAGUAUAAAGGCAAAAGCGCGCUUAACUGCGAGACCCACAAGUCGAGCAGGUACGAAAGUAGGUCUUAGUGAUCCGGUGGUUCUGUAUGGAAGGGCCAUCGCUCAACGGAUAAAAGGUACUCUGGGGAUAACAGGCUGAUACCGCCCAAGAGUUCAUAUCGACGGCGGUGUUUGGCACCUCGAUGUCGGCUCAUCUCAUCCUGGGGCUGAAGCAGGUCCCAAGGGUAUGGCUGUUCGCCAUUUAAAGAGGUACGCGAGCUGGGUUUAGAACGUCGUGAGACAGUUCGGUCCCUAUCUACCGUGGGCGCUGGAAAUUUGAGAGGAUCUGCUCCUAGUACGAGAGGACCAGAGUGGACGAACCUCUGGUGUACCGGUUGUGACGCCAGUCGCAUCGCCGGGUAGCUAUGUUCGGAAGGGAUAACCGCUGAAAGCAUCUAAGCGGGAAGCCUACCUCAAGAUAAGAUUUCCCUAGGACUUUAUGUCCUCUAAAGAGCCGUUCGAGACUAGGACGUUGAUAGGUUGGAUGUGGAAGCAUAGUGAUAUGUGAAGCUGACCAAUACUAAUUGCUCGUGAGGCUUGACUAUACAACACCCAAGCAGUUG
This 2291-nucleotide ribosomal RNA is filed under the name Acinetobacter baumannii. RNAcentral's name for it is "partial 23S ribosomal RNA". It matches the Rfam family "Bacterial large subunit ribosomal RNA", at positions 673 to 2925 of the family's 2925-position model. Lineage: Bacteria; Pseudomonadati; Pseudomonadota; Gammaproteobacteria; Moraxellales; Moraxellaceae. The record is from RNAcentral.